This 418-nucleotide ribosomal RNA is filed under the name uncultured delta proteobacterium. RNAcentral describes it as "bacterial SSU rRNA". It matches the Rfam family "Bacterial small subunit ribosomal RNA", at positions 9 to 425 of the family's 1533-position model. Lineage: Bacteria; Deltaproteobacteria. The record is from RNAcentral.
GAGUUUGAUCCUGGCUCAGAGCGAACGUUAGCGGCGCGCCUAACACAUGCAAGUCGCACGAGGUAGCAAUACCUAGUGGCGCACGGGUGCGUAACACGUAGAUAAUCUGCCCUAGAGUGGGGGGAUAACGUUCCGAAAGGAGCGCUAAUACCGCAUAAGACCGCGUCCGGUUAGCUGGAUGCGGGCAAAGCCUGGGACCGCAAGGCCAGGCGCUUUAGGAGGAGUCUGCGGCCCAUCAGCUAGUUGGUAAGGUAAUGGCUUACCAAGGCAAAGACGGGUAGCUGGUCUGAGAGGAUGAUCAGCCACACUGGUACUGGAACACGGACCAGACUCCUACGGGAGGCAGCAGUGGGGAAUCUUGGUCAAUGGGCGCAAGCCUGAACCAGCGACGCCGCGUGAGUGAUGAAGGCCUCGGUUG